GCGCCAAUAGCUCAGCUGGAUAGAGCGACUGCCUUCUAAGCCGUAGGUCGCAGGUUCGAGUCCUGCUUGGCGCA
This 74-nucleotide transfer RNA is filed under the name Candidatus Pacebacteria bacterium CG2_30_36_39. RNAcentral's name for it is "tRNA-Arg". It matches the Rfam family "tRNA". From Rfam's summary of the family: Transfer RNA (tRNA) molecules are approximately 80 nucleotides in length. Their secondary structure includes four short double-helical elements and three loops (D, anti-codon, and T loops). Further hydrogen bonds mediate the characteristic L-shaped molecular structure. tRNAs have two regions of fundamental functional importance: the anti-codon, which is responsible for specific mRNA codon recognition, and the 3' end, to which the tRNAs corresponding amino acid is attached (by aminoacyl-tRNA synthetases). tRNAs cope with the degeneracy of the genetic code in two manners: having more than one tRNA (with a specific anti-codon) for a particular amino acid; and 'wobble' base-pairing, i.e. permitting non-standard base-pairing at the 3rd anti-codon position. The record is from RNAcentral. RNAcentral also lists the same sequence under 2 other names. Lineage: Bacteria; Bacillati; Minisyncoccota.